AAAAAAAAUAUUAAGUGGAUUUUUUAAGAUAGAAAUGUCAGUGAUAUUUCUAUGUCAAGAUAUGAUAUUGUUAUUUAGUUAGAGUUUUUAAAAUGAGAAAGAAGUUAAUCGAAAAGUAUGCAAAAAAAAAAAAUUUAUAAUUUUUCAUUUUGCAAAAUCAAGAAUUUUAGUAUAUUUUAUCUAACAAAUAUAAAUGCUGUAUUAUUUAUAUUUGUAAAGCAAAAACAUAGUAUGAAUUCUUAGAAAUUAAAUUCUUAAGCCAUAUGCAUCAAAAUUCUUACUAUAGGUGGUCCUUGACUUAUGAUAGGAUUUGGUUUGAAUACCACUGUCGUAAGUUGAAAAUACCCAAAAUUUAUGCAUUGCCUAUUAUCAAUAUUUAUUAUUAUACUUCGCUUUAUCAUAAAAACUUAAAAGAACAUAAAAAUACAAGAACUAUACAUAAAAAGGAUGUUUUUUGUAUAUCAGACCAGUGGUCAGGGACUCAAACACUUUGAUAAAUUCUAUAAUUGGUCAAUGUAAUUAACAAUGACAUUACUGUCCUAAGUAUGAGUGAUCGAUCAUAAGUCAAGAAUACCUGCACUUUCAAUAUCAUAAAUUGUUAUUAAGUUCUACAUUAAUAAAAGCUGUAUGGGAUAAAUUUAUAAGCUUUUACCUACCUAUGGUGAGAUAUUUAUUGCAGCAUCAAAUGAAAAGCCCAUGAAUCAGCUAUUUUCUCAAGACCAUUCAAGGAAAUUAUAUGUAAACUAUUAUAUUUAAUCAUAUUUAUAAUGCAAUAAAUAAUAGCAUCCCGUAAUAUAUUAACAAGAACACUGAUUUAUUCUACUUAUACAUUAAUAGAAUACAUUAGAAUCUGAGAGCCUUGAUUUGUGUCAUACUUCCAUUUUUUGAAGAAAAAAAUCAUUUAUGCAACACAAAAUGAAGCACUUUAUGUUGCACAAAUGCAGGAAACAUUUUUCAUAACCUGUUUGAAUUUUACAGAUUAUUCUUAUAUAUGUUUGAACUUCGU
This 1006-nucleotide long non-coding RNA is filed under the name Androctonus crassicauda. The record is from RNAcentral. Lineage: Eukaryota; Metazoa; Arthropoda; Arachnida; Scorpiones; Buthidae.